UAGUCCACGCCGUAAACGAUGAGUGCUAGAUAUCGGGAGUUUAACUUUCGGUUUCGAAGCUAACGCGUUAAGCACUCCGCCUGGGGACUACGAUCGCAAGAUUAAAACUCAAAGGAAUUGACGGGGGCUCGCACAAGUGGUGGAGCAUGCGGUUUAAUUCGAUGCUACGCGAAAAACCUUACCAACCCUUGACAUGGUGGUCGCGAAUCUUAGAGAUAGGAUUCUUCAGUUCGGCUGGACGAUGUACAGGUGCUGCAUGGCUGUCGUCAGCUCGUGUCGUGAGAUGUUGGGUUAAGUCCCGCAACGAGCGCAACCCUUAUCCUUAGUUGCCAGCAUUUAGUUGGGCACUCUAAGGAGACUGCCGGUGAUAAGCCGGAGGAAGGCGGGGAUGACGUCAAGUCCUCAUGGCCCUUAUGGGGUGGGCUACACACGUGCUACAAUGGCGGUGACAGUGGGACGCGAACUCGCGAGGGUAAGCUAAUCUCCAAAAACCGUCUCAGUUCGGAUUGCACU
Molecule: ribosomal RNA, 513 nt
Filed under: uncultured bacterium
Lineage: Bacteria
Description: bacterial SSU rRNA
Rfam family: Bacterial small subunit ribosomal RNA
Source: RNAcentral